AUUUUACCAAACUAUACAUCCGGCCGCGCGCUUUCUACCCUAAGAACUUGAGAAAAUCAAAUCCUAAAUCCUUCCUUGCGUUAAUUUCUCCUCAUCUCCAUCUCUUGUUCACGCGGUUGACCAAGGGAUUCUGUGAAUUUCUCUGCAUAUCGUUGCUUAUUUCUCCUCAGCUCUAUCUCUCUUUCAGUUUGGAGGAUUUUGUGAAUUUCUUUGCCUCUGCAUCUUUCUGUCGGUCUAGGUAAUUUUGUUUCACAAAAAUCCCCCAAAUAACAAUGAAUUCAUCCCAAAUUUUCAUCUCUCAUUGAUGAUUAUGUAUUUCUCUUUUUCUGCAGAUUUUAUUUUUUCAAUUGUGGAAGGGAAGUGUUGACGGAUAUACGGUUUGAAUCGGGAAAUUGGUGGAAAUAGUUUCUUCUUCGCAUCCUUGGGAAGGUAUUUCUUCUUUUUUUGAUUCUGCAACUCUGGGCAGUAAACUCUGUUUUAGGCUUGACGUGAGAUUGUUCUUGCGGCUUCGGGUGUGAAAAAAUAUUAUGUAAUUAUUUCACAUAGUGGAAUCAUUGGAUUGAGGGUUGUGUGAUGCAUCUAUAAGUCUGUACCCUUUUUCUUGUUCACAGUCAGUUGAAGCAGAUUAUGUUUCUACAAUAUCAGACUUUAAUUUUCAGGUUUAUAUGUUAAACUUCUGUAAUCAUAGAGAAGAGAUUUUCUUAGCAGAACUUGUGGAUGAUGUUAGACAUGGUCUCCUCAGUUCUUUGAGAACAUUAAAAUAGGCAAAACCAUUUGGAUUACAUUGUAUAAUCCGCGAUUUGAGUAUUUUCUUGAACUGCGAGAUAGAUAAUUGUCUAUAUAGUUUGCAAUCUAUCAAAUCAAUUCUAGGUAAGAGUUUAUUCUUCUUAUUGAAUGUGAUUUAGGAUAAAAAUUUUCACGCCCAAAACAAUUGGGUUAAAUCUUCCUGCACUUACAAAUGGGGUUUAUAUUUCCCAUGGCUGUUAAUGCUGUUGACCAAAGAGCAUUCUAGCAUGCAUUACUUCCCCCGAAAAAUUUCACGAUGCCAUUGUUAGACUGAGUGGAGACUAUGCUGUUAUCCAUGAAUGAAUUCUCGGAAAAUGUUUGACUUGAUGUAGUCGAACUAUUGUCCAGACCACCCUGAUGAAGUGGAAAUGGGAAGCGGAUGUUAGCGCUCGAUGUUUGAGAGUAAAGUAGGCUAUGAAAGCCCAUAGUUUUGGUAAUUAGGUUGGAAAAACUUUCAAUUUGUGCUUCUUGCUGGAAUCCAGGAAAUCCAACGUGAAUUUUUUCAUUAAUGAUUCUCCUGCCUCUAUUUCUGAGCUUGGUUUAUUCAAGGCUGCUGCUGGUUGAAUCAUUGAAAGGCAAACUCAAGUAUGAUGAAGAAACUAUUUGAUCUGAAUCCUCUGCCUUUUUUGUAGGUAAUCAUGAACUUUUCCCUUUGUUUGGCUGCUUUGUUGUAGUCGCUUCAAGAACUUGGUUGUGGUUUACGCCCUCUUCAACUACUUUUGGAAAUUCAUUUGUAUUAGAAGCCACAUUUAGAAUAGGUUCAUCUAUGAAGAGGUGAUCAAAAUUAACAUGCCUCCAUCUGUCAAUCUUCAAUUUAUUCUUAGGAUCUUUUGCAUGUUCAUCAAAAGCAUCUUUGUAACUCCCUUUUUGCUUCCUAACAUCAGAAGGUUCCACAUUAUAGAAUACAGGAUAAAUCUGUUGGCCAAAUUUCUGAUUACAUUCAACGAUUUUAGCAAUCUCUUCUAAGCACCAAGUGGAAUCGGCAUAGUUUUCUGAGAAGAUAACGAGGGCAACUUUGGAUCUUUCAAUGGCAUUUUGGAGUAGUGGGGAAAUGGAACUUCCUCUCUUGAGUUUAAUAUCGUCUUUGAAUGUGAGGAAUUGUGUUGUCUUUGGUCAUAAAUAUUAAUAAAUUUUAUUUUGUUCAUAAAUGUUAAUGAAUUUUAAAUUUCAAAAUUAAAGGUAAUUUUAAAUUUCAAUUUUCCAAUUUCCCCCAACAAUUACCAUCAUGGUUUAC
RNAcentral lists this long non-coding RNA (2020 nucleotides) under Olea europaea subsp. europaea. Lineage: Eukaryota; Viridiplantae; Streptophyta; Magnoliopsida; Lamiales; Oleaceae. The record is from RNAcentral.